GACGAACGCUGGCGGCGUGCUUAACACAUGCAAGUCGAACGGAAAGGCCCUGCUUGCAGGGUACUCGAGUGGCGAACGGGUGAGUAACACGUGGGUGCUCUGCCCUGCACUUCGGGAUAAGCUUGGGAAACUGGGUCUAAUACCGGAUAGGAGCCAUCUUUAGUGUGGUGGUUGGAAAGAUUUUUCGGUGUAGGAUGAGCUGGCGGCCUAUCAGCUUGUUGGUGGGGUAAUGGCCUACCAAGGCGGCGACGGGUAGCCGGCCUGAGAGGGUGUACGGCCACAUUGGGACUGAGAUACGGCCCAGACUCCUACGGGAGGCAGCAGUGGGGAAUAUUGCACAAUGGGCGCAAGCCUGAUGCAGCGACGCCGCGUGGGGGAUGAAGGCCUUCGGGUUGUAAACUCCUUUCGCUAGGGACGAAGCUUGUUGUGACGGUACCUAGAUAAGAAGCACCGGCUAACUACGUG
This 465-nucleotide ribosomal RNA is filed under the name uncultured bacterium. RNAcentral's name for it is "partial 16S ribosomal RNA". It matches the Rfam family "Bacterial small subunit ribosomal RNA", at positions 28 to 507 of the family's 1533-position model. The record is from RNAcentral.